This 497-nucleotide ribosomal RNA is filed under the name uncultured bacterium. Its description in RNAcentral is "partial 16S ribosomal RNA". It matches the Rfam family "Bacterial small subunit ribosomal RNA", at positions 28 to 507 of the family's 1533-position model. The record is from RNAcentral.
GAUGAACGCUGGCGGCGUGCCUAAUACAUGCAAGUCGAGCGAACAGACGAGGAGCUUGCUCCUCUGACGUUAGCGGCGGACGGGUGAGUAACACGUGGAUAACCUACCUAUAAGACUGGGAUAACUUCGGGAAACCGGAGCUAAUACCGGAUAAUAUAUUGAACCGCAUGGUUCAAUAGUGAAAGACGGUUUUGCUGUCACUUAUAGAUGGAUCCGCGCCGCAUUAGCUAGUUGGUAAGGUAACGGCUUACCAAGGCGACGAUGCGUAGCCGACCUGAGAGGGUGAUCGGCCACACUGGAGCUUGGACACCGUCCAGGCUCCUACGGGAGGCAGCAGUAGGGAAUCUUCCGCAAUGGGCGGAAGCCUGACGGAGCAGCGCCGCGUGAGUGAUGAAGGUCUUCGGAUCGUAAAACUCUGUUAUUAGGGAAGAACAAAUGUGUAAGUAACUAUGCACGUCUUGACGGUACCUAAUCAGAAAGCCACGGCUAACUACGUG